This is a non-coding RNA of Benincasa hispida (wax gourd), 1534 nucleotides long. NCBI's taxonomy places the organism in Eukaryota, Viridiplantae, Streptophyta, Magnoliopsida, Cucurbitales, Cucurbitaceae. The record is from RefSeq and is a predicted model, not a curated record.
UAUUUCUUUUACCACGAAUAAAACUCUUUUGUUAAAAGCAUUUUGCACAAUUUUCAGCUCAUUUUACUUACUUUGUUUUGCAUGCAUUCGAGAGAAAGGAAGAGAGGCAAUUUCUACGGCUUACCUUUGAUGACAAAGAUUGAAGAAGAUUGUAUGAAAAAUUAGUAAAAGAAGAUGAAGAUGGACAGAAUGCAACAAGAAUUAAAGCGGUUAAGCUUGAUGCCUACAUCUACUGUAAAAUCUCCAAGGAUUUCAUUAGCUCUUCAAGAACAAGAUUAUUACACACAUAUAAGCUUCUCUCUUUCACUUCAUAAUUUCUUUUUUAUAGUUCUUUCAUUUUCAACAAAAGCUUCUUAUUAAUACACAGAAAAUAAAAUGGAUCAGUUGUAUUUGUUGAAUUAACUAACAGUAAGUUGUUGGUUUCCAACCUUGUUAACUGUCUUCUUGUUUCUUUAACAGAUUAUGGUGAGAGGCUGAGCUGGGAGCAGUAGGACAUCAAACAAGUGAAUUUUUCUUCAAUUCUAGAGCUCACACCUCUUGGAUUUUCACUAGAAAAUACUGAGAUCUCCAAGUGGUGGUGCCCAAUUGGCCCUUUUGAAUUAUGCUCGUGAAUUUCACAGAGAAGGGGUUUUAAUGUGAAGUUUUGAAAUCUUCAAGGGCAUCAUGGAUUAAGUUUAUCAGAAUAGCAGUUUCAUUCUCUGCUCCCAGCUUUUCUCCAGACUGAUUGAGAGCAUUGGUCUUUCUUUUCAUAGAGAGCCUAGAGCUUCUCCCAGAUGUUGAAAGUAGUGGCCACAUCAAUCAUCUGUCUCAACACAAUAGAAAGGAAGAGAGGCAAUUUCUAGGCUUACCUUUGAUGAUGAAGAUUGUAGAAGAUUGUAUGAGAAAUCAGUAAAAGAAGAUGAAUAUGGAGAGAAUGUAACAGGAAUUUAAGUGGUUCAGCUUGAUGCGUACAUCCACUGUAAAAUCUCCAAGGAUAUCAUUAGCUCUUCAAGAAUAAAAUUAUUACACACAGAUAAGCUUCUCUCUUUCUCUCAAUAAUUUCUUUUUCAUAGUUCUUUCAUUUUCAGCAAAAGCUUCUUAUUAAUACAUAGAAAGUAAGAUCGAUUGUUGUAUUAGUUGAAGUAACUGACUGUCCAUUGUUGGUUUUCAAUCUUGUUAACUGUUUUCUUUUUUUUUUUAACAGAUUAUGGUGAGAGGCUGAACUGGGAGCAGCAGGACAUUAAAUAAGUGAUUUUUUCUUCAAUUCUAAGUAUAACACUUGUUUUUGCAUUUUACAAAAAUUAUUUUAUAUUUGUAGUUUUCCUCCCUUAAAACUUACUAAGGAUCGUGGAAGGAAGUUAGCAACCUAGUUACGUUUAGAUUGGAAACUAAUACCCUUGUUGUUCAUACACAUUAGAACAAGAAAAGUUUAGAAUUAGUGUAGUUUGUAGUCCAUAGCUUCUUCUUUUAUAUACAUUGUAUUAUGACAAUUUAAUGAAUAUUCAGUGUACCUCUUAUCAUUGAAAUCUGCUACAUCAAUAAUUAGUAGGGAGAA